CUGGUCCCACCUGACCCCAUGCCGAACUCAGAAGUGAAACGCCGUAGCGCCGAUGGUAGUGUGGGGUCUCCCCAUGUGAGAGUAGGGAACUGCCA
This 95-nucleotide ribosomal RNA is filed under the name Klebsiella variicola. The record is from RNAcentral. Lineage: Bacteria; Pseudomonadati; Pseudomonadota; Gammaproteobacteria; Enterobacterales; Enterobacteriaceae.